Molecule: long non-coding RNA, 901 nt
Organism: Trifolium pratense (red clover)
Lineage: Eukaryota; Viridiplantae; Streptophyta; Magnoliopsida; Fabales; Fabaceae
Exons: 7
Source: RefSeq, a predicted model, not a curated record
UUCACUCAAACAACCCUAAUUACAUCCACACCAGCGGCGCUCUCUCUCUCUCUCUGAAAGAAACCACUCACCUUGUAACUCAGUUUCAUUCAUCGUCGCCUCUCUUCUACCUAUCUCUCCUUCAUCAUCGCAUCAACUGAGUAACAAAGUCACUCAAACCUCCCUCAGUCUCACCGAUGGACCACAUUGACACAGAUCUGGAAAAUAAAAUACCAGAAAAUAACUUUCAGUCACCAUAUCUUGUUGCUUUUGCUGCCAUUAUUGCCUAUACUCAGUGCUGCUAUUACUGCCUAUACUGUUAAUUUGAGGGAGCUUUGUUAGGAAAUUAAGCUGAAGGAAUUAAUACUCACUUAUGGAUGACAUUGAUAUUUAUAUGGACAAUGAAUCAACCCAAAAUUGGAGGUAUUGAACAAUUGAGGUUUUGUGGAAGUUGCAUCACUGGUUAAAAGUUUUGGUUGUUCAAUAAUGAAUCAUAUCUUAAACUUUGAUUGAUGUUGUGCACCCUUUGGAGUAGAUGUUGAUAGAUGAUGCAAAAUGAAGCCCAACUCAAUGGUGGCUGGUGGAGUGGCUGGUGACAGUGGCAACAAUUAUGGAAGAAUGUCAAUACCAAUUUUUGAUUUAUAAUGGGCUGUAAUAUAUUUUUAAUGUUCUGUAAAAUAUAUAAUAUAUAUCUGUAUUAUGUAGUACAACUAAGCUGAAUUUGGUGAUCAAGGUAAGGUGAUCAAGUCAAGCUUAACAAAACAAUAUGCUAGCAAAAACUGAAUGUGUGAAUGAGACCGUCAAGCAGGAUGAAUAUGAAAGUGAAAAUGGCAGUCAAGAGAAAACUGAUUUUAGCAGUUUGAAUGCUGUUAUUAAGCAGCAGCUUGUUGAUAUAUUUAAAUUUAUCCUUUUAUUUGACUUA